AGAUAUCCACAAAUAUCUAAUGUAUAUGAAACUUUAAUGGCACAAUCUUGCAAUUUGGAGAAAGGGAGAUGUAGACAGGAGAUGAUGAACGGGAAACAAAACCAUUUGGAAUUUGCUGAAGGGGACUGACUUUUCGAUGCUGGUAGAUUUGUUCACGGGAUGCCCAUUAAUCACGUAAUUGCUAUGUGCCAACCACAGUGCUGGGGGUGGGUGACUGUGCUGAGCCAGACCUCUGACCCUUGCCCUCAGAGAGGGGCUGGGCUGGGCUCCUACUCAGACAUUUUGGACAUUUCUUCCUUCUCUCCUCAGCAUCCCUGCCUUUGCAGAACCAUGGCUCCCCUUUCCUGCAGUCCUGGUGGGGCUGUUAACGUCAGUCUCCCCCAUCCCCACCUCAGGAGUGGGCACGAGACCCAGGCUGGCCAAUCAGAAUAGCCCAUCCCCCAGGCCAAUUAUAAUUGGUUCAAGAUCCAAGCACAGCCAAUCAGAGUCUUCCCUGAGAUAGGUAUAUGGUGUUGCUAGGCAGAAUAGAAGGUUGAGACUAUGGGCAGCCAUACCGAGCACCACUUGGAAAGGCCUGAAGAUGGACUGAAGCUAGAAACGGGUGGAAUCAACAUGCGGGGGAGGGAAGGGGAGAGAGACCCAGCGAGCCCAUUCACAGCCUGAGAUCCAUAUGCCUGAAGUCGUCCCACUUAUACGGGUCCAAAAAAAUCUAAUUUUGCUUAAGCUAUUUUGAUUUUUUUACAUGCGAGUCCUGAUUAAUACAUCAGGUAAUUCAGUAAUAGUAACAGAAUACUAAUAAUAAUUAUUGCAAUAAGUAAUAUUCAUUAAAUGCUUCCUACGUGCCAGGCACUGUUCUAUAUAUUAACUAAUUUAGCCUCCCCUCAAAAUUCAACGAGGUGGGUAGUAUUAGUGUCCCCACUUGACAGAUAAGGAAAUAGAGGCACCAAGAGGUUAAGCCACUUACCCACAGUCACACAGCCUGUCAGCGGCAGAGCUGGGGUUUGAACUCAGAGAGUCUGGCUCCAGGGCCCCUACUCUUAAUCACAACAUAAGCAAGUGCAGUAAUGGCAGCUCAAGCAAGGAGCUGUGAGAACACCCAGAAGGGGCAGGUCGCUCAGCCUGGGAGUCAGGGAGGGCCUCCUGGAGGAGAUGAGCUGUAACUUUCAUCUUGAGGAACAUGAAGGUGUUCACCAGGCAGACAAAGCAGGGAAGGGUGUUCCAGGCAGAGGGAACAGAAUGUGCAAAGCCCCAAAGGUGGGAAUACACAUUCAAGUUCAGGUAGGGACAGGUGCUUCCAUGAGGUCAGGGCAUGGGGUACAACCACAGGCGGAUGGUGAUGAGAGAUGAGGACACACAGGGCCUCGAGUGCCAGGCUUAGGGGCCAGGUGUUCGACUCAGGGGCACUGGGGAGCCAUGGGAGGGCUGUGAGCAGGGGAGGGACAGUAUCAGCUCUCGGCGAAGGAAGACCCCUCCGGGGCUGUGUGUGAGAUGAACUGGAGGGCUUAAGAUUGGAGGCUGAGGGGCCAGGGUGGAGAUUGGGGUGAGAGUCCAGGUGAGGGAAGCUGAGGCCUGAGCCCAGACUGCAGGGGAGAGAGGAGGGCACUGGGCGAAGUUAUGGGCAGGAGGGGUGGGACUGGGGACUGACAGGCUGUGGUGGGUGACGGGGAAGGAGGGCGCAAGGUGUGGCCCCACAACAGGGUGGACAGUGGCAGAAACAAAGAUGCUUCCACCCCCUCCUCUGAUGCAGCUCGGGGGCGAGUGGGGGCAAAACUCUGGCUUCUUCCUGUCCCCCAACAGGUCAGGCCAGGCACCACUGCUGGGUCUUUACACAGGCGAUUCCCAUAGAAUAAUCCUAACAAUAACCGUCACAGCCUAUUCUGACCCAUUCUGUCACUGUGUGCCAGGCGCUGGGCCACACUCUGCAUGUGUCAACUCAUUUAUUCCUCCCAAGGAAUACUGUACGAUUAUUGUCACCAUUUUGCAGAUGGGAAACUUGAGGGACAGAGGGGCUAAAUAUUUUGCCUGAAGGUCACAGAGCCAGGAAGUGGUGGAGCUGGGAUAUGAACACAGAACUCAUGAUUAUGGCCCACGUGUCACCCUGCCCCCCCCUUUAUUUUGGUGAGGAAGAUUGGCUCUGAGCUAACAUCUGUGCCAAUCUUCCUCUAUCUUGUAUGUGGGACGCUGCCACAGCGUGGCUUGAUGAGUGGUGUGUAGGUUCGCACCUGGGAUCUGAACCCGCAAACCCCGGGCCACCGAAGUGGAGUGUGCGAACCUAACCACUAUGCCACUGGGCUGGCCCCUGCCUCAUUCUUGACAUGUCUGAUCAUGACAGAUGGGGUGGGAGGAUGGCUUGCACUCGCUGGACAGCCUCACCCACCUGGACGGGUAACUCGCCGGGCUUCUCUCUCCUCCAUCCUGGGCUC
Equus caballus (horse) is the source of this 2423-nucleotide long non-coding RNA. The record is from Ensembl. NCBI's taxonomy places the organism in Eukaryota, Metazoa, Chordata, Mammalia, Perissodactyla, Equidae.